AGCACCGGCAAACUCUGUGCCAGCAGCCGCGGUAAUACAGAGGGUGCAAGCGUUAAUCGGACUGACUGGGCGUAAAGGGUCUGUAGGUGGUUGUCUAGGUGAGAUGUGAAAGACCAGGGCUCAACCUUGGGGUGUCAUCUCAAACGGGACAACUGGAGCACAAGAGAGGGUAGUGGAAUUUCCGGUGUAGCAGUGAAAUGCGUAGAGAUCGGAAGGAACACCAGUGGCGAAGGCGACUACCUGGCUUGUAGCUGACACUGAGGGACGAAAGCGUGGGGAGCGAACAGGAUUAGAUACCCUGGUAGUCCACGCCGUAAACGAUGAGUACUAGCUGUUGGCAGGCGACGACCUGAGAGUAGCGAAGUUAACGCGAUAAGUUACUCCGCCUGGGGAUUUACGGCCGCAAGGCUAAAACUCAAAUGGAAUUGACG
RNAcentral lists this ribosomal RNA (431 nucleotides) under uncultured bacterium. RNAcentral describes it as "bacterial SSU rRNA". It matches the Rfam family "Bacterial small subunit ribosomal RNA", at positions 488 to 915 of the family's 1533-position model. The record is from RNAcentral.